Molecule: ribosomal RNA, 420 nt
Filed under: uncultured Alphaproteobacteria bacterium
Lineage: Bacteria; Pseudomonadati; Pseudomonadota; Alphaproteobacteria
Description: bacterial SSU rRNA
Rfam family: Bacterial small subunit ribosomal RNA
Source: RNAcentral
AGCGUUGUUCGGAUUUACUGGGCGUAAAGCGCACGUAGGCGGUUUGUUAAGUGAGAGGUGAAAUCCCAGAGCUCAACUCUGGAACUGCCUUUCAUACUGGCAAGCUAGAGUCCGGAAGAGGUAAGUGGAACUCCUAGUGUAGAGGUGGAAUUCGUAGAUAUUAGGAAGAACACCAGUGGCGAAGGCGGCUUACUGGUCCGGAACUGACGCUGAGGUGCGAAAGCGUGGGGGGCAAACAGGAUUAGAUACCCUGGUAGUCCACGCCGUAAACUAUGAGAGCUAGCCGUUGGGUGGUUUACCACUCAGUGGCGCAGCUAACGCAUUAAGCUCUCCGCCUGGGGAGUACGGUCGCAAGAUUAAAACUCAAAGGAAUUGACGGGGGCCCGCACAAGCGGUGGAGCAUGUGGUUUAAUUCGAAGC